CCCUUAGAUGUUCUGGGCCGCACGCGUGCUACACUGAGUGGAUCAGCGGGUCAGGUUGCGCGAAAGCGUUUCCUACUCUUUAAAUCCGCUCGUGAUGGGGAUUGACGGUUGCAAUUUUCUGUCAUGAACGAGGAAUACCUUGUAAGCGCGGGUCAUCAUCCCGCGCUGAAUACGUCCCUGCCCUUUGUACACACCGCCCGUCGCUCCUACCGAUUGAGUGGUCCGGUGAGGCUUUGGGAUCUGAGCGGAAAGAGCGUUUCGCUGUUUCUGCUCGGAAAACUCAGUCGAACCUUAUCAUUUAGAGGAAGGAGAAGUCGUAACA
Molecule: ribosomal RNA, 322 nt
Filed under: uncultured eukaryote
Lineage: Eukaryota
Description: partial 18S ribosomal RNA
Rfam family: Eukaryotic small subunit ribosomal RNA
Source: RNAcentral